Molecule: ribosomal RNA, 793 nt
Filed under: uncultured eukaryote
Lineage: Eukaryota
Description: SSU rRNA
Rfam family: Eukaryotic small subunit ribosomal RNA
Source: RNAcentral
AGCUCGUAGUUGGAUCUCCGUCUCGGUCGGACGGUCCACUUCACGGUGGUACUGUUCGAAUCGGACAUUUGGCCGCCUUUCUUACAAUGCUCUUUACUGAGUGUUGUGGGAGAGUGGCACGUUUACUUUGAAAAAAUUGGAGUGCUCAAAGCAGGCGUAUGCCUGAACCUUCGUGCAUGGAAUGAUGGAAUAGGGCCUCGGUUCUAUUUUGUUGGUUUCCGGAACUCGAGGUAAUGAUUAAGAGGGACAGACGGGGGCAUUCGUAUUGCGACGUUAGAGGUGAAAUUCUUAGAUCGUCGCAAGACAGACUACUGCGAAAGCAUUUGCCAAGAAUGUUUUCAUUAAUCAAGAACGAAAGUCAGAGGUUCGAAGGCGAUCAGAUACCGCCCUAGUUCUGACCAUAAACGAUGCCAACUGGCGAUUCGUCGGUGUUAAUUCCAAUGACCCGACGGGCAGCUUCCGGGAAACCAAAGUGUUCGUGUUCCGGGGGUAGUAUGGUUGCAAAACUGGAACUUAAAGGAAUUGACGGAAGGGCACCACCAGGAGUGGAGCCUGUGGCUUAAUUUGACUCAACACGGGAAAUCUCACCAGGCCCGGACACUGGCAGGAUUGACAGAUUGAGAGCUCUUUCUUGAUUCAGUGGGUGGUGGUGCAUGGCCGUUCUUAGUUGGUGGAGUGAUUUGUCUGGUUAAUUCCGAUAACGAACGAGACCCCGUCCUACUCACUAGACUGUGGAUGAUUCGUCAUUCACAGGUUCUUCUUAGAGGGACAACUGGCGUUUCUCCAGCUACAU